Camellia sinensis is the source of this 981-nucleotide non-coding RNA. NCBI's taxonomy places the organism in Eukaryota, Viridiplantae, Streptophyta, Magnoliopsida, Ericales, Theaceae. The record is from RefSeq and is a predicted model, not a curated record.
CUCUCAAUCUCUUCUCUCUCUCUCUCUCCUUGAUGUUCUCAGAUCAGCACCUCUGCUAUGCUAAUAUCCUUCAUCCUUCUCAGGUAAACACACAUGUAUAUGUAACUCUAUAUACUAUGUAUAUGUGAAUAUCAAUCUUUGAAAUUGAAAUUAUUCUGUUGAGAUCUGAGCAAGAAUCGAAGUAGUCGUCCUCAACUUCCUUAAGAUCUUGAACUCUUCGACUCCGGCAAUCUCAUGUCACUUUGGCUUGCAAUUUUACUUCAAAUCUCUAAUCUCGAAAUGUGUGUUAAGCAUUGAGUCACUGUUGAUUUUAAGUAGAUGAAUUUGGGGAUUUUUCAGUGUAUUACAAAUCGAUAGAAGAUGGAGUAAUAGUAGAGCGAGUUGAGGUUUGAUGAAGAUUAGAGAUCGAGAAGUUGGAUACUCAGUGGUUCACUACGAAGAAGUCGUCUCCUGAUUCGAAGCAAAAGUGAGUUUGACACAAUGAUCAGUAAUAGUUCCAAACCAUAGGUGAAAUCAGUAAUUUACAUCUUUUGAUGGUACAGUAGCUCGUGUAGUCUUAGUGUUGGGGGAUUAUUUGAAGGAUGAACCAUGGUUAAAGCUCCUCUGCAACUACCUGAAAUUGGGGUUUUUCUUGAUAGGAGGGUUUUUUUCUACAUUCUUCCAAUUUUCUCAUUUGUUUUACUUUACUCCAAUCUUCCACAUAAGGUACUGCUUAUGAAACUUGAAAUUCAAUUUACUUAAGGUCAACUUUUUGCACAAAUUCUACCAUAGUUGUCAGUGCUGCAGGAGCUCCGCUUUGUUAUUAGUUUUGUUCCAAUGUUUAUCAGCGGCAAUCGCAGCUAGCAGAAUGUACAUCUCUUUUCUUUUAUUUAAUUAAUACCUCAAUUAAUUUAUACGAAUACAGAGUUAUUUUUAUCUUCUUGUAGUUGUUUUAAAUGAUAUACUGAAGAGUAGUUUUAUAUUUGACCAACAGAGGACGAU